RNAcentral lists this non-coding RNA (83 nucleotides) under Xenorhabdus ehlersii. The record is from RNAcentral. Lineage: Bacteria; Pseudomonadati; Pseudomonadota; Gammaproteobacteria; Enterobacterales; Morganellaceae.
UUCAAUGGCGGUUCAGCAGGGGAGGCCUUGGCCUCGCCGGUGGAUACUCCGGUAUUGCAAACCCUGCUUGAACCGUCACCAAU